AUUGAACGCUGGCGGCAUGCUUUACACAUGCAAGUCGAACGGCAGCACGGGUGCUUGCACCUGGUGGCGAGUGGCGAACGGGUGAGUAAUGCAUCGGAACGUGCCCAUGAGUGGGGGAUAGCCCGGCGAAAGCCGGAUUAAUACCGCAUACGCCCUUAGGGGGAAAGCGGGGGAUCUUCGGACCUCGCGCUAUUGGAGCGGCCGAUGUCGGAUUAGCUAGUAGGUGAGGUAAAGGCUCACCUAGGCGACGAUCCGUAGCUGGUCUGAGAGGAUGAUCAGCCACACUGGGACUGAGACACGGCCCAGACUCCUACGGGAGGCAGCAGUGGGGAAUCUUGGACAAUGGGGGCAACCCUGAUCCAGCGACGCCGCGUGGGUGACGAAGGCCUCGGUUGUAAGCCUUUCUCGGGUAGAGUGAUGACGGUACCCGA
RNAcentral lists this ribosomal RNA (431 nucleotides) under uncultured bacterium. Its description in RNAcentral is "bacterial SSU rRNA". It matches the Rfam family "Bacterial small subunit ribosomal RNA", at positions 28 to 482 of the family's 1533-position model. The record is from RNAcentral.